AUACGGAGGGUGCAAGCGUUGUUCGGAAUUACUGGGCGUAAAGAGUACGUAGGCGGAUCGUUAAGUUAGAGGUGAAAUCCCAGGGCUCAACCCUGGAACUGCCUUUAAUACUGGCGAUCUAGAGAUCGAGAGAGGUGAGUGGAAUUUCCAGUGUAGAGGUGAAAUUCGUAGAUAUUGGAAAGAACACCAGUGGCGAAGGCGGCUCACUGGCUCGAUACUGACGCUGAGGUACGAAAGCGUGGGGAGCAAACAGGAUUAGAUACCCUUGUAGUCC
This 274-nucleotide ribosomal RNA is filed under the name uncultured bacterium. RNAcentral describes it as "partial 16S ribosomal RNA". It matches the Rfam family "Bacterial small subunit ribosomal RNA", at positions 523 to 796 of the family's 1533-position model. The record is from RNAcentral.